AACGCGAAGAACCUUACCUGGGCUUGACAUGUUCCCGACGACCUCAGAGAUGGGGUUUCCCUUCGGGGCGGGUUCACAGGUGGUGCAUGGUCGUCGUCAGCUCGUGUCGCGAGAUGUUGGGUUAAGUCCCGCAACGAGCGCAACCCACGCCCCGUGUUGCCAGCGCGUCAUGGCGGGAACUCACGGGGGACUGCCGGGGUCAACCCGGAGGAAGGCGGGGAUGACGUCAGAUCAUCAUGCCCCUUACGUCCAGGGCUUCACGCAUGCUACAAUGGCCGGUACAACGGGAUGCGACAUGGCGACAUGGAGCGGAUCCCUGAAAACCGGUCUCAGUUCGGAUCGCAGUCUGCAACUCGACUGCGUGAAGGCGGAGUCGCUAGUAAUCGCGAAUCAGCAACGUCGCGGUGAAUGCGUUCCCGGGUCUUGUACACACCG
RNAcentral lists this ribosomal RNA (435 nucleotides) under uncultured bacterium. Its description in RNAcentral is "bacterial SSU rRNA". It matches the Rfam family "Bacterial small subunit ribosomal RNA", at positions 958 to 1392 of the family's 1533-position model. The record is from RNAcentral.